This 372-nucleotide ribosomal RNA is filed under the name uncultured organism. RNAcentral's name for it is "bacterial SSU rRNA". It matches the Rfam family "Bacterial small subunit ribosomal RNA", at positions 526 to 896 of the family's 1533-position model. The record is from RNAcentral.
CAGAGGGUGCAAGCGUUGUUCGGAAUUAUUGGGCGUAAAGCGCGUGUAGGCGGCUUGUUAAGUCGGGUGUGAAAGCCCUCAGCUCAACUGAGGAAGGGCGCCCGAAACUGGCGAGCUUGAGUGUCGGAGAGGAUGGCGGAAUACCCCAAGUAGAGGUGAAAUUCGUAGAUAUGGGGUGGAACACCGGUGGCGAAGGCGGCCAUCUGGACGACAACUGACGCUGAGACGCGAAAGCGUGGGGAGCAAACAGGAUUAGAUACCCUGGUAGUCCACGCCGUAAACGAUGAGAACUAGGUGUCGUGGGUGUUGACCCCUGCGGUGCCGUAGCUAACGCAUUAAGUUCUCCGCCUGGGAAGUACGGUCGCAAGACUA